AGCAGCCGCGGUAAUUCCAGCUCCAAUAGCGUAUAUUAAAGUUGUUGCAGUUAAAAAGCUCGUAGUUGAAUUUCGGGAUCAAUAUGUUGGUCGUGCCUUGGUACGUACUGGCAUCGUUGGUUUCUCCUUUCUGAAGAACCAUGAUGUCAUUUAUUUGGUGUCGUGGGGAAUCAGGACUGUUACUUUGAAAAAUUAGAGUGUUUAAAGCAGGCUCACGCUUGAAUACAUUAGCAUGGAAUAAUGAAAUAGGACGUUUGAUUCUAUUUUGUUGGUUUCUAGGAUCGACGUAAUGAUUAAUAGGGAUAGUUGGGGGCAUUAGUAUUCAA
RNAcentral lists this ribosomal RNA (326 nucleotides) under uncultured Glomeromycotina. RNAcentral describes it as "SSU rRNA". It matches the Rfam family "Eukaryotic small subunit ribosomal RNA", at positions 569 to 901 of the family's 1831-position model. Lineage: Eukaryota; Fungi; Glomeromycota. The record is from RNAcentral.